GAUGAACGCUAGCUACAGGCUUAACACAUGCAAGUCGAGGGGUAACGAGAGGAAAGCUUGCUUUCCCUGUCGACGACCGGCGCACGGGUGAGUAACGCGUAUCCAACCUGCCCCCAACUAGGGAAUAACCUUGCGAAAGUAAGACUAAUACCCUAUAAUUUCCUCAGAUGACAUCUGACGAGGAAUAAAGAUUUAUCGGUUGUGGAUGGGGAUGCGUCUGAUUAGCUUGUUGGCGGGGUAACGGCCCACCAAGGCAACGAUCAGUAGGGGUUCUGAGAGGAAGGUCCCCCACAUUGGAACUGAGACACGGUCCAAACUCCUACGGGAGGCAGCAGUGAGGAAUAUUGGUCAAUGGGCGGAAGCCUGAACCAGCCAAGUAGCGUGCAGGAUGACGGCCCUAUGGGUUGUAAACUGCUUUUAUACAGGAAUAAAGUUAGCCACGUGUGGUUAUUUGUAGGUACUGUAUGAAUAAGGACCGGCUAAUUCCGUGCCAGCAGCCGCGGUAA
RNAcentral lists this ribosomal RNA (506 nucleotides) under uncultured bacterium. RNAcentral describes it as "partial 16S ribosomal RNA". It matches the Rfam family "Bacterial small subunit ribosomal RNA", at positions 28 to 523 of the family's 1533-position model. The record is from RNAcentral.